Long non-coding RNA from Brassica oleracea var. oleracea, 1036 nucleotides. RefSeq lists it as uncharacterized. The record is from RefSeq and is a predicted model, not a curated record. Lineage: Eukaryota; Viridiplantae; Streptophyta; Magnoliopsida; Brassicales; Brassicaceae. The transcript is spliced from 2 exons.
CUCUUCAUCUCCGAUAUUUGAGAUCGACGCACAAACUGAGUUCUAAAAGCGUUGAUUCGUCUUCACCAAAGUGGACAACGUAAUCUAGGGUUCAUCUUAUUCUUCGAUCCCUGAGCAUCUUCACCAACAAUGGAGUUUCUAUAGGAUGCGUGAGUUAGUCUUGAAGAAUCUCUGUAAGAAGCUUCGAUUGCGUCUUUACGCCUUCCUUUCUAAUCCUUCGAAACGUUAAUGGUUAUUAAUUCAUCGCUUUAACAAACAUCUGAAUACCAUCAACCCACGUCGAGCACGAUCUGAGAUUGAUUCAUCUUAUCCCGCUGCAAGUCGGUCUCUCUGCACCUAUAAAAGGUAAGCCAUCUUUCGUUGAACAUUAUCCUCUCAAUCCGUGAUAACACCAAAGUUAAUUUAUUCUGUGAAUGGCUAACUCAUCAAUCCUCUUCUUUAAUGGCUUCUCGAGCUGCGACACAAGAAGCUGCGAUGAACGGAGUCCUCAUCGGUUCGAAUCAGCCCUAAGGACGAGGAGUCGCGGAGAUCUCUGAUCUCGUACCUCUCAUUCCUCCUCUCGAUAUCUCUCGCUCAUCAUGAUAGAGGAGGAUUACGUGGCUAUGUGAGGAGAUGGAGUUGAGAUGAGGAUGCUAGCUCUUACUGCUUUAGAUGUUCUACGGUUCCUCAGAUUUUUCAAUCGAUACAGGUUUUUGUGUUUUGAGUGAACUUUUGACGCUGAGGAAGUGAGGAUAUGAAAGAGUUCAGUGUGUAGCAUGCAAGACAACAGAUGAGUUAUCGCAAUAAGCUGGCUAAACUUGAUGGAGUUCCAUACCGUGAUUUCACUGGAUAGGUCUAGGGUUUUUUUUUUGGAAAAUAAAAUAAUUUAGUUUGCAUCUUAUUGAGGGGUUAACAUGAUAAACUCAAGCAUCUUGCUUAGUUGUUGUUUGUCUUGCGCUGUGUGCUGUUCGCAGGAGAAGAUUUGCCUAUUCUCUACGGGUUUGAAUGUAAGGAUAAUGUUUGAGACCAACACACGAAACCCACCGGGUCUUAUAAA